CAUGUCUCUCUGUUAAUUUUUUAAAGUUUGGUCUGCUCAAUGAAGUUUUUAAUAGCCGCAGUAUUUUAACUGUGCAAAGGUAGCAUAAUAGAUAGUUUCUUGAUUAGAAGCUUGAAUGAAUGGUUGGACGAAAAAAUUUCUGUCUCAGUUUUAUUGGUUUUUGAAUUUUAUUUUUGAGUUAAAAAUCUCAAAUUUAUAUGAAAGACGAGAAGACCCUAUAGAGUUUUAUAUUUUUAUAAUUUUUUAAUUUUAAAGGUAUUUGAUUGGGGUGCUUUGAAGAUUAAUAAAAUUCUUCUUUUUUUGACUAAUGAUUUUUAAAUUUUGAAAGUAUUAUUUUAAAUAAAAAUAAAUUACCUUAGGGAUAACAGCGUAAUUUUUCUUUAAAGCUCUUAUUGUAAGGAGGUUUGCGACCUCGAUGUUGGAUUAAAAUUAAUUUUUGGCGCAAUUGUUUAAAAAUUAGGUCUGUUCGACCUUUAAAAUUUUACAUGAUCUGAGUUUAGACCGGCGUGAGCCAGGUUAGAUUCUAUCUUUAGAUUAAUAUGUUGUUUUAGUACGAAAAGACCAAAUAAUAAUUAGAGAUUA
RNAcentral lists this ribosomal RNA (582 nucleotides) under Scarelus salvani. RNAcentral's name for it is "partial 16S ribosomal RNA". It matches the Rfam family "Archaeal large subunit ribosomal RNA", at positions 1950 to 2786 of the family's 2987-position model. The record is from RNAcentral. Lineage: Eukaryota; Metazoa; Arthropoda; Insecta; Coleoptera; Lycidae.